This 511-nucleotide ribosomal RNA is filed under the name uncultured bacterium. RNAcentral's name for it is "partial 16S ribosomal RNA". It matches the Rfam family "Bacterial small subunit ribosomal RNA", at positions 28 to 523 of the family's 1533-position model. The record is from RNAcentral.
GAUGAACGCUAGCGGCAGGCCUAACACAUGCAAGUCGAGGGGCAGCAUAAAAAUUCAGCAAUGAGUUUUGGUGGCGACCGGCGGACGGGUGCGUAACGCGUAUGCAACCUACCUUUAACAGGGGGAUAACGGAUGGAAACGUCCACUAAUACCCCAUAAUAUCCGAAGAGGCAUCUCUUUGGGUUGAAAACUCCGGUGGUAAAAGAUGGGCAUGCGUUGUAUUAGGUAGUUGGUGAGGUAAUGGCUCACCAAGCCUACGAUACAUAGGGGGACUGAGAGGUUAGCCCCCCACACUGGUACUGAGACACGGACCAGACUCCUACGGGAGGCAGCAGUGAGGAAUAUUGGUCAAUGGGGGCAACCCUGAUCCAGCCAUGCCGCGUGAGUGAAGAAGGCCUUCGGGUUGUAAAGCUCUUUCGCGAGGGAAGAAAGCGCACUGGUUAAUACCUGGUGUGGAUGACGGUACCUUGAUAAGAAGCACCGGCUAACUACGUGCCAGCCGCCGCGGUAA